This 673-nucleotide ribosomal RNA is filed under the name Corynebacterium amycolatum. Its description in RNAcentral is "bacterial SSU rRNA". It matches the Rfam family "Bacterial small subunit ribosomal RNA", at positions 47 to 733 of the family's 1533-position model. Lineage: Bacteria; Bacillati; Actinomycetota; Actinomycetes; Mycobacteriales; Corynebacteriaceae. The record is from RNAcentral.
CUUAACACAUGCAAGUCGAACGGUAAGGCUCCAGCUUGCUGGGGUACACGAGUGGCGAACGGGUGAGUAACACGUGGGUGACCUGCCCUGCACUUCGGGAUAAGCCUGGGAAACUGGGUCUAAUACCGGAUAGGACCGCACCGUGAGGGUGUGGUGGAAAGUUUUUUCGGUGUGGGAUGGGCCCGCGGCCUAUCAGCUUGUUGGUGGGGUAAUGGCCUACCAAGGCGGCGACGGGUAGCCGGCCUGAGAGGGUGGACGGCCACAUUGGGACUGAGACACGGCCCAGACUCCUACGGGAGGCAGCAGUGGGGAAUAUUGCACAAUGGGCGGAAGCCUGAUGCAGCGACGCCGCGUGGGGGAUGACGGCCUUCGGGUUGUAAACUCCUUUCACCAUCGACGAAGGGUUUCUGACGGUAGAUGGAGAAGAAGCACCGGCUAACUACGUGCCAGCAGCCGCGGUAAUACGUAGGGUGCGAGCGUUGUCCGGAAUUACUGGGCGUAAAGAGCUCGUAGGUGGUUUGUCGCGUCGUCUGUGAAAUUCCGGGGCUUAACUCCGGGCGUGCAGGCGAUACGGGCAUAACUUGAGUACUGUAGGGGAGACUGGAAUUCCUGGUGUAGCGGUGAAAUGCGCAGAUAUCAGGAGGAACACCGGUGGCGAAGGCGGGUCUCUGGG